UACAGAGACUGCAAGCGUUGUUCGGAUUUACUGGGCGUAAAGGGCGCGUAGGCGGUCGUGACAAGUCACUUGUGAAAUCCCCGAGCUCAACUUGGGAACUGCGUUUGAAACUACAAGACUAGAAUAUGUCAGAGGGGGGUAGAAUUCCACGUGUAGCAGUGAAAUGCGUUGAGAGAUGUGGAGGAAUACCAAUGGCGAAGGCAGCCCCCCUGGGAUAAUAUUGACGCUCAUGCAC
This 235-nucleotide ribosomal RNA is filed under the name uncultured bacterium. Its description in RNAcentral is "partial 16S ribosomal RNA". It matches the Rfam family "Bacterial small subunit ribosomal RNA", at positions 524 to 754 of the family's 1533-position model. The record is from RNAcentral.